AGUGAACGCUGGCGGUAGGCCUAACACAUGCAAGUCGAACGGCAGCACAGGAGAGCUUGCUCUCUGGGUGGCGAGUGGCGGACGGGUGAGGAAUACAUCGGAAUCUACUCUGUCGUGGGGGAUAACGUAGGGAAACUUACGCUAAUACCGCAUACGACCUACGGGUGAAAGCGGGGGACCUUCGGGCCUUGCGCGAUUGAAUGAGCGGAUGUCGGAUUAGCUAGUUGGCGGGGUAAAGGCCCACCAAGGCGACGAUCCGUAGCUGGUCUGAGAGGAUGAUCAGCCACACUGGAACUGAGACACGGUCCAGACUCCUACGGGAGGCAGCAGUGGGGAAUAUUGGACAAUGGGCGCAAGCCUGAUCCAGCCAUACCGCGUGGGUGAAGAAGGCCUUCGGGUUGUAAAGCCCUUUUGUUGGGAAAGAAAUCCAGCUGGCUAAUACCCGGUUGGGAUGACGGUACCCAAAGAAUAAGCACCGGCUAACUUCGUGCCAGCCGCCGCUGUAA
Molecule: ribosomal RNA, 506 nt
Filed under: uncultured bacterium
Lineage: Bacteria
Description: partial 16S ribosomal RNA
Rfam family: Bacterial small subunit ribosomal RNA
Source: RNAcentral